Non-coding RNA from Oryza sativa Japonica Group (Japanese rice), 1738 nucleotides. The record is from RefSeq and is a predicted model, not a curated record. NCBI's taxonomy places the organism in Eukaryota, Viridiplantae, Streptophyta, Magnoliopsida, Poales, Poaceae.
ACAACCGGGCCGUGCUUGGGCCGCUCCCUCGGCACGGUGGGCCGGCACGGCCCGGCACGAAAGAGGUCGGCACGGUGGGCCGGCACGGCCCGGCACGGUCCAACGGCAGGCACGGCCCGACCGAGGCCUGUUAUGCCGGGUGGGUAUAAAUACCCCAAACCGCAUCAAACCGACAAACCCUAACCCUAGCCACAUCAGUCUGGAGUCUCGACCGAUCCGCCGCUCGCCCGCUCCGCCUCCACCUCCAGGCUCCGACCCCUCAGCCCUCCACGCCUCCAUCCCUCUUCGUCGGCGUCUCCGAUGGAUGCCUCGCCGGAUCUAGCACCGAGGGUCAGCGGGCUCCCGCUGGGGGCUUGAGGGUCGUCUCUUCUCUAUCCUUUUCUUUCAUCUCUUUGGCUGAUCUGUGACCGUGAGCUCUUCGUCUCCGCCUCUCCGGUCACCGGAUCGACGGUCGCAUUGUCGAUUUCCUCUCCAUUCUGUACUUUUUUUUGCAACCCUCAUCGUUUCUCUUCGUCAGAUACUCAGAUCCACUCAUCCACCCCCCAAAUCUAGUCUCUCCUCUUGUCUUCUCGUAGAUCUGUGGAUCUCUAUCAUCAACGGCAACUCCGGUGCUCCGGAUGCGCAGUGACACUGUCAACCAAUACGAUGAUGACUUCAAUAUCCUUAACUGGUGGCAUGAGCACAACCACACCUAUCCUAUUCUUUCCAUAUUAGCUAGGGAUGUUUUGACUGUUCCUGUUUCUACUAUAUCAUCGGAAUCUGCUUUUAGCUUAACUGGCAGGAUCAUCGAGGAGCGACGACGGCGUCUAGCUCCUGACAUGGUGCAAGCUUUGGCACUAAUCAAAGAUUGGGAGCAAGCAGAUGCAAAGAUGCAACAUACCAUGGAGAAUUUAGAGCUUAUAAACUCUUUUGACAAUUUGUUUCUUGAUGAAGUAACCACUGCCAUUGGGACUGGAUGAUUGUAUUGGACUUGGACUUUAUUAUGAAUAUUUGAUUAAUGCUGUGGGCUGCACUCUUUUUUCCUUUCUAGGGUUUUCUCACGAGGUGUGAGUUUUUACCUAGAAAGGUUUUUAACGAGGCAGCCAUUGCACUACACAGCUACUUUAUUCAUUGAAAUACUCGUGUCAAGUUUUUGGGUGAAAGUUUAUGAUUUUGGGUAAUUUUUGACUUAGUGAAACUUUUGAAUCUUAGAACUGUGAUUUCUGUGAAUUGUCCAUGUCAUCUGUGAUCUAAGUCAAGUUUUUUGGGUGAAAGUUUGGGUGAAAAUUUGUGAUUUUGGGUAAUUUGACUUGGUGAAAUUUUUGAAUCUACAACUGUGAGUCUGUGAUUUUUGAAACUCUUCUGUGAAUUGUCCAUGUCAUCUGUGAUCUAAGUCAAGUUUUUUGGGUGAAAGUUUGGGUGAAAAUUUGUGAUUUUGGGUAAUUUGACUUGGUGAAAUUUUUGAAUCUACAACUGUGAGUCUGUGAUUUUUGAAACUCUUCUGUGAAUUGUCCAUGUGAUAUGUGAUCUUAGUCAAGUGAUCUAUGAAUUUUUGUCAAUGUGAUCUGUGAAUCUUUGAUCUGUGAUCUGUGAAUUUUUGUAAAGGUGAUAUGUGAAUCUAGAACUGUGAAUUCAACUAAGGCAUGUUCAAAUUUGAAUUUGUCAACUAAGUUGUGUAAGUUGUGUUAUUUGAAUUUGUUAACCAAGGCAUGUUCAAAUUUAUAUUUGUCAACUAAGUUGUGUAAUUUAAAUUUGUUAA